GUGUGAGAAUUUACACUCCAGAUAUCAGCAAAACUGUUUCUCUGGGCAUGACUAGAUGUCCUAAAAUGGAGGGAUCCUGAGGAGCCUUUGGAGCAUGCUCAGGUUGCCCCACUUGUAAUUGUUCUGUGUCUCCUACCAUGCGGAGAGGAGAUCUCAGGCACGGAGGACUAAGAUGGCAACUAAAACAUAGUAGCCAAAUCCAGAAAAUCAGAAGCAGAGCCAGGAGAGGAAUAAAGGUCACUUUGUUUCUUAAUUGAGAGAUUUGGAUAUUAUGACCUCUGAAGUUCUACCCACCUCUAAAAUCUAUGAAAUUAAGAUUGUUUCCUCCUCAGGAAAGAGGAACACAAGAGAUAUUUCCAGAACUUGACCUGCUUUAUACGUAUCAAUUUCUACCUAUGUAUGUGUUUAUCUCGCUAUCUGUCUAUGUAUAUGCUUUGCUGCAUUUCCACAUGGAAGCAGAGAUGAUGGAUAAAAGUUCUAUACCAGAGAGAGAAAGCAUGGAUCCAGAUUUUACUAUCACUACAUAUUUACUCUGUUACCGUAGAUCAUGUGCUUAACCUCUCUGGUAUUAUUUUCUCAGUUGUUAUA
Long non-coding RNA from Phascolarctos cinereus (koala), 588 nucleotides. RefSeq lists it as uncharacterized. NCBI's taxonomy places the organism in Eukaryota, Metazoa, Chordata, Mammalia, Diprotodontia, Phascolarctidae. The record is from RefSeq and is a predicted model, not a curated record.